RNAcentral lists this ribosomal RNA (495 nucleotides) under uncultured bacterium. RNAcentral's name for it is "partial 16S ribosomal RNA". It matches the Rfam family "Bacterial small subunit ribosomal RNA", at positions 899 to 1397 of the family's 1533-position model. The record is from RNAcentral.
ACUCAAAUGAAUAGACGGGGGCCCGCACAAGCAGUGGAGUAUGUGGUUUAAUUCGAAGCAACGCGAAGAACCUUACCAGGACUUGACAUCCCUUGAAUAGCCAAGAGAUUGGUGAAGCCCUUCGGGGCAAGGAGACAGGUGGUGCAUGGUUGUCGUCAGCUCGUGUCGUGAGAUGUUGGGUUAAGUCCCGCAACGAGCGCAACCCCUGCCGUCAGUUGCCAUCAUUAAGUUGGGCACUCUGGCGGGACUGCCGGUGACAAAUCGGAGGAAGGUGGGGACGACGUCAAAUCAUCAUGCCCCUUACGUCCUGGGCUACACACGUACUACAAUGGCCACUACAGAGGGCAGCCAAGGAGCAAUCCGGAGCAAAUCCCCAAAAGUGGCCCCAGUUCAGAUUGUGGGCUGAAACCCGCCCACAUGAAGUCGGAAUUGCUAGUAAUGGCAGGUCAGCAUACUGCCGUGAAUACGUUCCCGGGCCUUGUACACACCGCCCGU